Molecule: ribosomal RNA, 253 nt
Filed under: uncultured bacterium
Lineage: Bacteria
Description: partial 16S ribosomal RNA
Rfam family: Bacterial small subunit ribosomal RNA
Source: RNAcentral
UACGGGGGGGGUAAGCGUUGUUCGGAAUUACUGGGCGUAAAGGGCUCGUAGGCGGCCAACUAAGUCGGACGUGAAAUCCCUCAGCUUAACUGGGGAACUGCGUCCGAUACUGGAUGGCUUGGAUUUGGGAGAGGGAUGCGGAAUUCCAGGUGUAGCGGUGAAAUGCGUAGAUAUCUGGAGGAAUACCGGUGGCGAAGGCGGCAUCCUGGACCAUUACUGACGCUGAAUCGCGAAAGCUAGGGGAGCAGACGGG